Molecule: long non-coding RNA, 316 nt
Filed under: Equus caballus (horse)
Lineage: Eukaryota; Metazoa; Chordata; Mammalia; Perissodactyla; Equidae
Description: lncRNA (ENSECAG00000052875.1)
Source: RNAcentral
UCUCCUAGUCUGCCCUGAGAAAAUUCCUUUAAAAGGAUCUGCUGAUCAUACUCCGCAAUUUAUUUUAAAUCGGAAUUGCAGAAAUGACUGUGGAUACAGACACAGCGUAUUAACGAUCCGUCCCAUAUGCUUGUUAAGGAUGGAGAACAAGUUAAAGAAGGCCAGUUAGAAGGUGUGGCGAUGAUCCUGUCAAGAGAUGAUGUGGCCUAAAUCAGAGCAUGGCAAAGGGACUGAUGAAAAAUAGACUUGUGGUAAGGACCAAAUACAAGGAAGGAAGAGAUGUCAACAGGGAUGCCUGGAUGCUAAUGGAGAUGGG